CUGGCGGCGUGCCUAAUACAUGCAAGUCGAACGGUCUUUCUAUGGAAGCUUGCUUCCACUGAGAAGAUAGUGGCGAACGGGUGAGUAACACGUGGGUAACCUGCCCAUAAGAGGGGGGAUAACAUCCGGAAACGGGUGCUAAUACCGCAUAGUUUUCUUGAUCGCAUGAUCGGGAAAGGAAAGACGGCCUUUGUGCUGUCGCUUAUGGAUGGACCCGCGGCGUAUUAGUUAGUUGGUGAGGUAACGGCUCACCAAGACGAUGAUACGUAGCCGACCUGAGAGGGUGAUCGGCCACAUUGGGACUGAGACACGGCCCAAACUCCUACGGGAGGCAGCAGUAGGGAAUCUUCCGCAAUGGACGAAAGUCUGACGGAGCAACGCCGCGUGAGUGAAGAAAAGGUUUUCGGAUCGUAAAACUCUGUUGUCAGAGAAGAACAAGUUGGAGAGUAACUGCUCCAGCCUUGACGGUAUCUGACCAGAAAGCCACGGCUAACUACGUGCCAGCCGCAGC
RNAcentral lists this ribosomal RNA (511 nucleotides) under uncultured bacterium. RNAcentral describes it as "bacterial SSU rRNA". It matches the Rfam family "Bacterial small subunit ribosomal RNA", at positions 36 to 518 of the family's 1533-position model. The record is from RNAcentral.